RNAcentral lists this long non-coding RNA (1276 nucleotides) under Capra hircus (goat). RNAcentral's name for it is "lncRNA (ENSCHIG00010003388.1)". Lineage: Eukaryota; Metazoa; Chordata; Mammalia; Artiodactyla; Bovidae. The record is from RNAcentral.
GUGGGCGAGGCCUCGCCGUCACACACGGGAUUCGGGCCUGCGGCCAAAACCCUCAGACCCCAGUGCAUGCAGAUAAACAGUUCUGAAGGUACACACAACAGUGGGGAAAGUGAGCGCUGGCUGCUCGCCCGAUUCGGGGUGGCAAUGACCUUGCAGUGUGCUUUAAAGCCCUUAUCUUUCCUUUAGGCUGAAGUUUUGGUAGAUGACCCAAUAUAAUGUCUGCUUCUUUUAAAACCUCCUGGGGUCGAUCCCUGGGUCAGGAAGAUCCCCUGGAGAAGGAAAUGGCANNNNNNNNNNNNNNNNNNNNNNNNNNNNNNNNNNNNACGGAGGAGCCUGGUGGGCCAUAGUCCACGGGGUCGCAAAGAGUUGGACACGACUGAGUGACUUCGCCUUCGCCUUCGUUGGUGGAGCGAGGGCACCAACUGUGUGAGUCAUUUGGUCACUGUUGAAGUUGGGGGUGGAGGGCACUUGGAGCUCAUCAUAGCCUCUAUUAUGAAAAUUAUGUCUAUUGGAGAUUUUCCAAAAUAAAAAGUUUUUAAAAAGAUGGCCAGCACCCCACUAAAAAUCCACAGACAGACAGUGUGGAAAGUACAUUUGGGACUUUUGAUUCCAAAGUGGUGUAGGAGACAGGGUUCUCUGAGCGGUCCUGAAAAGACGAGAAAUCCCUGAGCGUCAGAGGCUUGAGGGGCCGAUGGCACAGGGCAACCCCGGGCCAACCUGUGCCCGAGAGAGGACUCCUGCCGAACAGAGUGUGGACGGGCUGUCUGAGCAGGGGGGCGGGGGCAGGGCAGAUGGCGGAGCUGCACUUGGCUGACUUUCGGAUGUGGUUGGUGCAGUGCAGCCCCCACGACCUGUCUACAUGUGUGUGCGUGCAUGUAUGCACACAAACACAGGGACGCACAUACAUGUACACACGCCAAACACAGAGACACAAUCACAGGCACACAUACAUGUAUGCACACAUAGGUAUACACGCACGCACGCACGCACACACACAUACGGCAGUUCGGGGCCACUCAUGGGCCCGAUGCCUGCACCAGCUCGCCCUCACGCUCCCACCUCCCCCACCUGCCUGUCCUGGGCCCCUCGCCACAGGCGCCCCGUGUGCUCCCCUCCCCUGUCUGCUGAGCCCCCUCUGGCAGGCCCUGAGCCGAGCAGCUGGCCUCCUGCUCGAGGUCGGUGUGGUGGUGCUGCACUUCUAGGAAGUCAGCAACCAGGCAGAUUGUCAGGCUGCAGGGCUGCGGAAAGCCUGUGGGUUGGGUGCUGCUCAGAUUAG